UUAGAGUUUGAUCAUGGCUCAGGAUGAACGCUAGCGGCAGGCUUAACACAUGCAAGUCGAACGGCAACACGGGUAGCAAUACCUGGUGGCGAGUGGCGCACGGGUGCGUAACGCGUAUGCAACCUGCCCCGCACAGUGGGAUAGCCCCGAGAAAUUGGGAAUAAUACCACAUGGUACCAGGGAUUGGCAUCAACCCCUGGUUAAAGGAACCCGGUGCGGGAUGGGCAUGCGUGACAUUAGCUAGUUGGCGGGGUAACGGCCCACCAAGGCGACGAUGUCUAGGGGUUCUGAGAGGAUACACCCCCACACUGGUACUGAGACACGGACCAGACUCCUACGGGAGGCAGCAGUGAGGAAUAUUGGUCAAUGGGCGCGAGCCUGAACCAGCCAUGCCGCGUGCAGGAAUGAAGGCCCUAUGGGUUGUAAACUGCUUUUGCGUGGGGAUAAACCCCCGUUCGUGAACGGGGUUGAAGGUACCACGCGAAUAAGCAUCGGCUAACUCCGUGCCAGCAGCCGCGGUAAUACGGAGGAUGCGAGCGUUAUCCGGAUUUAUUGGGUUUAAAGGGUGCGCAGGCGGGUCGAUAAGUCAGUGGUGAAAUCUCCCGGCUCAACCGGGAAACUGCCAUUGAUACUGUCGGUCUAGAGUACAGUUGGGGUAGGCGGAAUGUAGCAUGUAGCGGUGAAAUGCUUAGAGAUGCUACAGAACACCGAUCGCGAAGGCAGCUUACCAAGCUGAAACUGACGCUCAUGCACGAAAGCGUGGGGAUCAAACAGGAUUAGACACCCUGGUAGUCCACGCUGUAAACGAUGAUCACUAGCUGUUGGCGAUACACAGCCAGUGGCUAAGCGAAAGUGAUAAGUGAUCCACCUGGGGAGUACGAUCGCAAGGUUGAAACUCAAAGGAAUUGACGGGGGCCCGCACAAGCGGAGGAGCAUGUGGUUUAAUUCGAUGAUACGCGAGGAACCUUACCUGGGCUUAAAUGUAGGUUGCAUGAGGUGGAAACACUUCUUCCCUUCGGGGCUACCUACAAGGUGCUGCAUGGUUGUCGUCAGCUCGUGCCGUGAGGUGUCGGGUUAAGUCCCAUAACGAGCGCAACCCUUACCCCUAGUUGCCAACGCGUGAAGGCGGGGACUCUAGGGGGACUGCCGGCGCAAGCCGAGAGGAAGGUGGGGAUGACGUCAAAUCAGCACGGCCCUUACGUCCAGGGCUACACACGUGCUACAAUGGCCGGUACAGAGGGCAGCCACCCCGCGAGGGGGAGCGAAUCUCCAAAGCCGGUCUCAGUUCGGAUCGGAGUCUGCAACCCGACUCCGUGAAGUUGGAUUCGCUAGUAAUCGCGCAUCAGCCAUGGCGCGGUGAAUACGUUCCCGGGCCUUGUACACACCGCCCGUCAAGCCAUGGAAGCUGGGGGUACCUAAAGUCCGUAACCGCGAGGAGCGGCCUAGGGUAAAACUAGUAACUGGGGCUAAGUCGUAACAAGGUAGCCAAGGGCGAA
Molecule: ribosomal RNA, 1496 nt
Filed under: uncultured Bacteroidota bacterium
Lineage: Bacteria; Pseudomonadati; Bacteroidota
Description: bacterial SSU rRNA
Rfam family: Bacterial small subunit ribosomal RNA
Source: RNAcentral